RNAcentral lists this ribosomal RNA (799 nucleotides) under uncultured Brevundimonas sp. RNAcentral's name for it is "bacterial SSU rRNA". It matches the Rfam family "Bacterial small subunit ribosomal RNA", at positions 23 to 869 of the family's 1533-position model. Lineage: Bacteria; Pseudomonadati; Pseudomonadota; Alphaproteobacteria; Caulobacterales; Caulobacteraceae. The record is from RNAcentral.
CUCAGAGCGAACGCUGGCGGCAGGCCUAACACAUGCAAGUCGAACGAACUCUUCGGAGUUAGUGGCGGACGGGUGAGUAACACGUGGGAACGUGCCUUUAGGUUCGGAAUAACUCAGGGAAACUUGUGCUAAUACCGAAUGUGCCCUUCGGGGGAAAGAUUUAUCGCCUUUAGAGCGGCCCGCGUCUGAUUAGCUAGUUGGUGAGGUAAAGGCUCACCAAGGCGACGAUCAGUAGCUGGUCUGAGAGGAUGAUCAGCCACAUUGGGACUGAGACACGGCCCAAACUCCUACGGGAGGCAGCAGUGGGGAAUCUUGCGCAAUGGGCGAAAGCCUGACGCAGCCAUGCCGCGUGAAUGAUGAAGGUCUUAGGAUUGUAAAAUUCUUUCAGUAGGGACGAUAAUGACGGUACCUACAGAAGAAGCCCCGGCUAACUUCGUGCCAGCAGCCGCGGUAAUACGAAGGGGGCUAGCGUUGCUCGGAAUUACUGGGCGUAAAGGGAGCGUAGGCGGACAUUUAAGUCAGGGGUGAAAUCCCGGGGCUCAACCUCGGAAUUGCCUUUGAUACUGGGUGUCUUGAGUGUGAGAGAGGUAUGUGGAACUCCGAGUGUAGAGGUGAAAUUCGUAGAUAUUCGGAAGAACACCAGUGGCGAAGGCGACAUACUGGCUCAUUACUGACGCUGAGGCUCGAAAGCGUGGGGAGCAAACAGGAUUAGAUACCCUGGUAGUCCACGCCGUAAACGAUGAUUGCUAGUUGUCGGGAUGCAUGCAUUUCGGUGACGCAGCUAACGCAUUAAGCAAUC